RNAcentral lists this long non-coding RNA (378 nucleotides) under Mytilus galloprovincialis (Mediterranean mussel). The record is from RNAcentral. Lineage: Eukaryota; Metazoa; Mollusca; Bivalvia; Mytilida; Mytilidae.
CUUUUUCUAAAAACAAAUUCAUCGGAAAGUACCAAGACCUUGUUAAUAAAUAUUCUGUAUCAACUUUACAAAUAAUUCAUGGUGGCCUUGAUGUAUCGAUUCUGCGUACUGAUGUUGUUUAUCAUCUUAACAACGUGUUUUGUUGUUCUUUCAUUUGUCUUUGUUCUAUUUUUUAUAUUACUUUUACUGUUAGGUUGUUUUAUGUGAUAUCCUUUUAACGUGGCUUGGUACUUACACAUCCCGUCAAUGUGUUUGUAUUGUCUUUAAUUUUUUGGUAGUGUGUUUUGUAUUUCUUUGGUUCUUAUAACGUGACUCUGUACUUUAAAAGAUACCGUCAGUAUGAUAUUGUUCUAUUUUAUGUCAUUAUGAUAUAUUUCU